GACGAACGCUGGCGGCGUGCUUAACACAUGCAAGUCGCGCGCGAAAGAGGCUUUCGGGUCUUGAGUAGAGCGGCGCACGGGUGCGUAAGACGCGGGUGACCUAUCCACGAGGUGGGGAUAACCCUUCGAAAGAGGGGCUAAUACCGGAUGAGCCCACAGGCAGAGAUGCUAGGGGGCAAAGGGUGCGAUUUACUAAGCGCAUCUCUUCGUGGCGGGGCCCACGGCCUAUCAGCUAGUUGGUGUGGUAACGGCACACCAAGGCGAAGACGGUAGCUGGCCUGAGAGGAUGGCCAGCCACACGGGGACUGAGACACGGCCCCGACUCCUACGGGAGGCAGCAGUGGGAAUAUUGGGCAAUGGGCGCAAAGCCUGACCCAGCGACGCCGCGUGGGUGAU
RNAcentral lists this ribosomal RNA (396 nucleotides) under uncultured bacterium. RNAcentral describes it as "bacterial SSU rRNA". It matches the Rfam family "Bacterial small subunit ribosomal RNA", at positions 28 to 409 of the family's 1533-position model. The record is from RNAcentral.